CCUGGCUCAGGAUGAACGCUGGCGGCGUGCCUAACACAUGCAAGUCGAACGGAAAGCUACCGCUUCGGAGACUUCGGUCAAUGUUUGGUAGUUUUUAGUGGCGGACGGGUGAGUAACGCGUGGAUAACCUGCCUCAUACAGGGGGAUAACAGUUAGAAAUGACUGCUAAUACCGCAUAAGCGCACAGGAUCGCAUGUUUCUGUGUGAAAAACUCCGGUGGUAUGAGAUGGAUCCGCGUCUGAUUAGCUAGUUGGCGGGGUAACAGCCCACCAAGGCGACGAUCAGUAGCCGGCCUGAGAGGGUGAACGGCCACAUUGGGACUGAGACACGGCCCAAACUCCUACGGGAGGCAGCAGUGGGGGAUAUUGCACAAUGGGGGAAACCCUGAUGCAGCGACGCCGCGUGAGUGAAGAAGUAUUUCGGUAUGUAAAGCUCUAUCAGCAGGGAAGAUAAUGACGGUACCUGACUAAGAAGCACCGGCUAAAUACGUGCC
This 493-nucleotide ribosomal RNA is filed under the name uncultured organism. RNAcentral's name for it is "SSU rRNA". It matches the Rfam family "Bacterial small subunit ribosomal RNA", at positions 18 to 509 of the family's 1533-position model. The record is from RNAcentral.